UUUUUCUUUUUUUGAGAGAUAGAUAGCACGCUACCCGCUUCGUUUAUUUCAUUUAGAAAUAAACUUAGCUGGAAAUGUGAAUCAACUAGGAUUCGAACUUGGGUCUCGGAUACCAACCAGUAAGUCAUUUCCCACUUGCUCUAGGGACGGUCGGUGUGCUAAUUACACGUUUGGUUCUCAAUCUAUGAGACGCGUGAUACUUUAGUUCUCGAACUUUAAUUCAUUAUAUUUUCUGGCUUGAACUAUGAGACACGUGACACAUUAUUUUUUUGAGAGAUAGGUAGCAUGCAGGUACUAUAUAUGAGACGCGUGACACUUUAUUUUUUGAGAGAUAGAUAGCAUGCUACUUGCUUCUUUUAUUUUAUUUAAAAAUAAACUUAACUGGAAAUAUAAAUCAACUAGGAUUCGAACCUUGGACCUCGAAUACCAACCACCAAACCUUUUGCUACUUACGCUGGGGACAAUCAGUAACACGCGACACUUUAGUUCUCGAACUUUAUAUAAUUAGAUGCAAAUUCUGGCUCAAACUAUAAGGCAUGUGACAUUUCAGUCAUCGAAUUUUUUGGAUUGUUGCGAUUAAGUCACACAACCCAUUUUUUUGAAUGAGUAUUGAUGAAUUACUAAUAUCGAAGUAAUAUAGUAUUUUAAUUAUUGUUGCAUUGUUAACUACGAUAUUAUUAUAAGUCAAAAAGUUUGAGGGCUAAGAUGCCACAUAUAUCAUAUUUCGAGCCAGAAAUUAUAACUAGUUAAUGUUCAAACAAUAAAGUGUCACACACCUCAUAGUUCAAGCCAAAAAUUACAACGAAUUAAAGUUCGAGAACUAAUGUGUCACAUGCCUCAUAGUUUGAGGACCGAAAGUGUAAU
Molecule: long non-coding RNA, 864 nt
Filed under: Ananas comosus (pineapple)
Lineage: Eukaryota; Viridiplantae; Streptophyta; Magnoliopsida; Poales; Bromeliaceae
Description: long non-coding RNA (ACOM_LNC044864)
Source: RNAcentral